GAUUUUUUGAUUAACGCUUGUAAACGAACCGUUUUAAGGUCGUCGUAACAGACAAUAAACGUGUUCAAAUACAAGUCACUUGGAAG
Molecule: non-coding RNA, 86 nt
Filed under: Yersinia intermedia
Lineage: Bacteria; Pseudomonadati; Pseudomonadota; Gammaproteobacteria; Enterobacterales; Yersiniaceae
Also listed under: 1 other name
Description: nuoG RNA
Rfam family: nuoG RNA
Source: RNAcentral